CAGUCGCCGCGGUAAUACGUAGGUCCCGAGCGUUGUCCGGAUUUAUUGGGCGUAAAGGGAGCGCAGGCGGUUUAGUAAGUCUGAAGUUAAAGGCAUUGGCUCAACCAAUGUAUGCUUUGGAAACUGUUAGACUUGAGUGCAGAAGGGGAGAGUGGAAUUCCAUGUGUAGCGGUGAAAUGCGUAGAUAUAUGGAGGAACACCGGUGGCGAAAGCGGCUCUCUGGUCUGUCACUGACGCUGAGGCUCGAAAGCGUGGGUAGCGAACAGGAUUAGAUACCCGAGUAGUCCCUGUCUCUUAUACC
This 301-nucleotide ribosomal RNA is filed under the name uncultured bacterium. Its description in RNAcentral is "partial 16S ribosomal RNA". It matches the Rfam family "Bacterial small subunit ribosomal RNA", at positions 509 to 808 of the family's 1533-position model. The record is from RNAcentral.